GAUGAAGAACGUAGCGAAAUGCGAUACGUAAUGUGAAUUGCAAAUUCAGUGAAUCAUCGAGUCUUUGAACGCACAUUGCGCCCCCUGGUAUUCCGGGGGGCAUGCCUGUCCGAGCGUCAUUUCUGCCCUCAAGCACGGCUUGUGUGUUGGGCCCCGUCCUCCGAUUCCGGGGGACGGGCCCGAAAGGCAGCGGCGGCACCGAGUCCGGUCCUCGAGCGUAUGGGGCUUUGUCACCCGCUCUGUAGGCCCGGCCGGCGCUUGCCGAUCAACCCAAAUUUUUAUCCAGGUUGACCUCUGAUCAGGUAGGGAUACCCGCUGAACUUAAGCAUAUCAAUAAGCGGAGGA
Molecule: unclassified non-coding RNA, 345 nt
Filed under: soil metagenome
Description: partial contains 5.8S ribosomal RNA, internal transcribed spacer 2, and large subunit ribosomal RNA
Rfam family: 5.8S ribosomal RNA (bases 1-119)
Source: RNAcentral